Long non-coding RNA from Ipomoea nil (Japanese morning glory), 100 nucleotides. RefSeq lists it as uncharacterized. The record is from RefSeq and is a predicted model, not a curated record. The transcript is spliced from 3 exons. NCBI's taxonomy places the organism in Eukaryota, Viridiplantae, Streptophyta, Magnoliopsida, Solanales, Convolvulaceae.
UGACAGAACAGGUGAGCAAGUCGUAUUAUGCAGGAACAUGUAAGGGAAAGAGCAGAUUAGAUAACAUAUUCUUCUGAAUUUAACCAUAAAAAACUACUUC